UAUACAUCAGCGGUCUGGUAACUCCCAUGGUAGGGAUAAGGCUUUUAAUGCAAUAGUAGAGGAGAAAUGAGAGAGUUCACACACAUAAUACAGAUAUUGCACCACGCGGUCAAGUGCUGAAGGUAUUCCACGCUAAUCUAUACAAGAACCUACAAAGUUAGGCAUCUGCCUUGUUUAGUUCCACGUUACAAGAACUCAUUUCAUUGUACGAUUUUGCGGAAUACUUUCCUAUUCAAUAUAAACAAGUAUGAGAAUAACAAAAUCGCGCAAUAAUUAAACUUGUUAAUUUCUCAGUAUGUGACGGGGGGAGAGGCAUGAGUUUGAACAACUUUUUUCUAUACAUGUGUAUAACCGGCGGUUUCUCUUACUUUCCGAGAUACGAAAAUAUACGAAAAUGCAAUUCAAAGUUUUGCAAUUAUACAGAUGUAGAAACGAUUCUAUUUCUGGAAACGGAGAUCUUAGACGUGCCGAAUUUAGAGAAGAACAAUGAAAAUGAAAGAGACAGAGGGACUGAGAGUCGAAGCGUUCGAAAAUGCAAUGGGAUGAUGGUUUUAUGAUACAGAGAAGCAUCGUGUAUUUCUAGUUCACUGUUCAGCAAAUUUCCUUAACAAACCAGCCUGCAGCUCACAUACGGCACUUAACGAACGUUUGUUUGUUAAUAAAAUUAUUAAAAUAGAGUCACCCUGUUACCAACCCGCUGUUAACCAGCGAUUUACUCCUUUACCUCAGUUCAAGAGUGUAUCGCGCUACGGACGCGAUUUAUAAUUAGAUUUAUUAGUCAGCACACCAUGUGCAAACGCCAACCAACCCCAAACGAUCACAACAUUCGAUCAACCACGGGGAAUAAACAAUGAUGAAUGAAAUUCGUACCAAUAUACUUAUUACAUUUUUUUAAAUAAAAGGGACUAAACACGAUAUAAUUUGGAACAUAUUUGCUUAUUUAAUAAAUAAUAAUUAAAUACAUAUCAAUAAGUAACUGUAAUUCAAAAUAUAUCGUAUUUGAUCUCAUUUUAUUUAUUGAGAAUGCUCUCACAAAUAUGUCAGUAGAAAUUUAAUUUAGAAAAAGUUAAAAAUAAAAAAAUUUCAUUUUUAAAUGAGUACCUACAUACAUUGUCUCAGCGAUAUUUGACAUUGAAUUAUGUUAUACUACUCAACUGCGGCGGGCUGUCAAACUUCACGAAACGUCGAGGGGCAUCUCUCCCCUGUGAAGGGGAUGACGACCAUGCAAUUAGCGAGAGAUUCUUUUUCUGCAGAUAUAUCACGUCAGGAAUAUUAUUUGCAGUCUAUCUAUUGCAGUAAACUAUUGAAAUUACUAAUAAAAUGAAAUUUAGAUUUUAUUAUAACAAAAACAUUAUCGCGAGGAAAGUAAAUUUUGUAUUAAAUCUAAAAAGUUAUCGUUUAUAGAGAAUAUAUUAAAAUUAUUGCAUCAUUUCAUUAAUCCAUUACCGUUUGAAGGAAACGAUUCUCUUUUCUUCUCUAAAAAAGAUAUAAUGAGCAAUUAAUUUUUCUUUUUAAAGCAACUAAUUUUAAUUAUUGUGCGAUUUUACUAUUCUCAUACUUGUCUGUUUCGAAUAGAAAAGUAGCUUUUUCGUAGAAUCGUACAAUGAAAUGAGAUCUU
Molecule: long non-coding RNA, 1618 nt
Organism: Bombus terrestris (buff-tailed bumblebee)
Lineage: Eukaryota; Metazoa; Arthropoda; Insecta; Hymenoptera; Apidae
Exons: 3
Source: RefSeq, a predicted model, not a curated record